ACAGUGGGCAGCAAACUCGCGAGGGUGAGCUAAUCUCCAAAAGCCGUCUCAGUUCGGAUUGUUCUCUGCNACUCGAGAGCAUGAAGGCGGAAUCGCUAGUAAUCGCGGAUCNGCAUGCCGCGGUGAAUACGUUCCCAGGCCUUGUACACACCCCCCGUCACACCAUGGGAGUUGGUUUCACCCCAAGGCAGUGCGCUAACCGCAAGCAAGGCAGCUGACCACGGUGGG
This 228-nucleotide ribosomal RNA is filed under the name alpha proteobacterium B707. RNAcentral describes it as "partial 16S ribosomal RNA". It matches the Rfam family "Bacterial small subunit ribosomal RNA", at positions 1239 to 1466 of the family's 1533-position model. Lineage: Bacteria; Pseudomonadati; Pseudomonadota; Alphaproteobacteria. The record is from RNAcentral.